RNAcentral lists this ribosomal RNA (404 nucleotides) under uncultured Parvibacter sp. Its description in RNAcentral is "bacterial SSU rRNA". It matches the Rfam family "Bacterial small subunit ribosomal RNA", at positions 354 to 776 of the family's 1533-position model. Lineage: Bacteria; Bacillati; Actinomycetota; Coriobacteriia; Coriobacteriales; Coriobacteriaceae. The record is from RNAcentral.
GUGGGGAAUUUUGCGCAAUGGGGGAAACCCUGACGCAGCAACGCCGCGUGCGGGACGACGGCCCUCGGGUUGUAAACCGCUUUCAGUGGGGACGAUGGUGACGGUACCCACAGAAGAAGCUCCGGCUAACUACGUGCCAGCAGCCGCGGUAAUACGUAGGGAGCGAGCGUUAUCCGGAUUCAUUGGGCGUAAAGCGCGCGUAGGCGGCUGCCUAAGCGGAACCUCUAAUCCCGGGGCUCAACCUCGGGCCGGGUUCCGAACUGGGCGGCUCGAGUGCGGUAGAGGCAGGCGGAAUUCCCGGUGUAGCGGUGGAAUGCGCAGAUAUCGGGAAGAACACCGAUGGCGAAGGCAGCCUGCUGGGCCGUCACUGACGCUGAGGCGCGAAAGCUGGGGGAGCGAACAGG